AAAACAAGAAGAGAAAUAGAGCAUUUUAUAUCUUCCAAAGUAUUGAAUCUGAUAGAUGUACGCCCUGAUUUUGUGUAUUUGUAUAUCCAGCGCUCCCGGAAAUCUUGUUUAAAUUUUCGCCUAGCUAAAAAACCUCUAGACAAGGAUUGAACGGCAACAGAAUUAUUUUCUGCUUUUCGUUCUUCUUCUCGAUUUUUGCGCUCCAUGGCUGCUUUUCGCAACAACUGAGCGCGAUCGUUGGAGACACGUUUUCCCCCGAGAUUAACAUUUCUUUUGGCUUUAAACGUUCCUUCAAAACUUAAAGGCAUUCUUCAAAAAUUUCUUAUAUCAAUGCGGUUUUUAGGUAUCAAAUACAGAACUCACAAGUGUAAAAAAGCAAAUAUAAAAAUCAAACAGCCUUACACUCUAAUAAGGCAAAGAUUUUAUGAAAGACUUAGAGAAAAUAGAAUUAUUAAAAGUUUAAAAUCUAACCGUUUAGUAAAUUAUAGCGUUUUAAGAACUUUCGAGAUGAUUAGGUAAACAAGAACUGCUGGUUUAGCGCAUGAGUAACGGUUAUAUUAA
Schizosaccharomyces pombe (fission yeast) is the source of this 561-nucleotide non-coding RNA. Lineage: Eukaryota; Fungi; Ascomycota; Schizosaccharomycetes; Schizosaccharomycetales; Schizosaccharomycetaceae. The record is from the annotation of a GenBank genome assembly.